Molecule: ribosomal RNA, 253 nt
Filed under: uncultured bacterium
Lineage: Bacteria
Description: partial 16S ribosomal RNA
Rfam family: Bacterial small subunit ribosomal RNA
Source: RNAcentral
UACGUAGGGGGCUAGCGUUGUCCGGAUUUAUUGGGCGUAAAGAGCGUGUAGGCGGCCAGGUAGGUCUGCUGUGAAAACUCGAGGCUCAACCUCGAGAUGUCGGCGGAAACUAUCUGGCUAGAGUCCGGAAGAGGAGAGUGGAAUUCCUGGUGUAGCGGUGAAAUGCGCAGAUAUCAGGAAGAACACCCGUGGCGAAGGCGGCUCUCUGGGACGGUACUGACGCUGAGACGCGAAAGCGUGGGGAGCGAACAGG